UUUUGUGGUACCCCCAAAUAAAUAUCAGCCCUCCAUUUUUGUCCAUCCAAAGGCCUAAAAAAAAUCAUACUUCUCCUCAAAACGUGAGAGGUAUGUAUCAUACCGGUGCUAAAUUUUGCAGCAAACAAGAAAAAGGCCUGCCGCGCCACGGCCUAUUAGACGGACAUGACCCGAAACACGGCCCAGGCCCAGGUGCAGACGGUAGCUGGUGGGGAAGGGGACCGGACGGCAUAACCCUCGUUCCACCGCGAACUCGCUGCGUGGGUGCCGCCGCCGAUCCACAACUCCGGCGAAACCGCCGCCUCGCAUCCUACCACCGGCGUGUAAGCCGAGAUCUCCUCCUACAUCCCCUCCACCAACUAUUCCGAACAACAUCCUGUCAUGGCCGCGGUGCGCCCUUCGCCUCACGCCGUCCUCUUUGAUCGCCAAGACGGCUGAUGUCUUCACGGUGGUCCGGGAGAGGUGCCUGGCUUUCAUCGCGUCGCAGGCUCGCAGCGCCCGUGGCGGCUCGGCGGUGGCGCAGGAAAUUGGAAGAUGCCGACAAAGUGGUGCUGGUAGGCGAAAUGGCCGGCGCGUGAUUCGGUGGUAGGUUCAUCUUCAGGCUUCAGCGACGACAAGCACGGCCGAGCCACCAAUGACAAAUUCACUCUGGUACUGGUUUUCAGAGUAUGGUUUAACUGUUUAUAUCAUGUCAGGGAGUAUAUACUGUGAGCAUAUUGGAAGGGAGCAUACAAGCAAUCAUGAACACCUUGCUAUCUAUAUUGGCUUUGAGUUAUUCUCUUAAAAAUCUCAGUUAACUUAUCUUGUUUGGGAUAAAAUGAUGCAUUGGAUGUUGUAACUGUUGUUCUUGGCAAUUUUGACUUAUCUACUAGACUACUACUGUUAGAUGGGCAUUGCAUUCAUCUUGAAAGGCCGUUUUAGGGAUCAUAUCUGAUGGAGAAUUUAAGAUUUCCUUUAGCAAGCAAAUAUUUCUGACCAUAGCAGUGCAGACACGGAAAUCUGUAAUGCCAUUGUUCCUAAAAUGUUCAGAAUCUAGGGCCAUAGAUAGCUAUGAUCAAUUCUCACUAUCAAUUAGGUUGCUAUGCAAGGGUAACUUGAGAUCCUUGGAGAAGAUGUUUGCUAGUUCAGCGCGGUUUAUGAAUCAUGAAAUCAUCAUCCUUUAGUAUUUCUCAUAUAUUACUGUAGAAAGAAUAUAAGAGCCAAAUUGCUGAAGGAACUUUUGGUUUGCUACCGUUUCUGUUUAAUUUCUGGCAUCUUGGUUAACAUAUUGUGUUGGUUCAGGCGUUGUCUCCGCAAGGGAAGGGUGGAGGAACGAAUAUGUGAAGUGGUAAGCUCUCCCUUCCUGGGUGGAACUGAAGCAAUGUUUAAGAGGCUCCAGAAUUCAUUGUUCCGGUGGGUCUUUGGAGCAGCAAUGCGACCUUCGGCGUAGGCCGGCGACGGCGGAAGUGACAAGCCUACCAUACCACUUCUUCGUCCGAUUAGACUCGGACGAAACCUGCACGCGUGUGGUGAACUUCUACCGGGCAGUGCGCCGUUGCCUCGCUGGCUCCAAGCUCCCCUACGCACAAGCGCACACAGGAGUACAAUCUCAUUCUACAUGUGAAGGAGGUCAUCGACCGCGGCCCUUUGGUGAUGGAGGGCACUGAUUUCUACCCUGAUGAUGAUGAAGACCUAAGCCGCAAGCACAAAGUUUAAGACCUGGCGUGGCAAGAUCGACGGCAGAGGUCUUGGUCAUCAUGACGAGGCAUGAUCGGAAUUUGCUAUGAUCCUUGUCCCCAGCGUUUACUUCAGUUUAUAAUGUUUCGCCUAGCUGUUUUUUUAUUGAGUCGUACUACCCAUGUUUAAGUCAGAUUAUAAUGUUUUGGACCACCUGUGUUUAAUCGAGUUUGGUACAACCAUUGUUUACUUCA
This is a long non-coding RNA of Lolium perenne, 1910 nucleotides long. RefSeq lists it as uncharacterized. The record is from RefSeq and is a predicted model, not a curated record. Lineage: Eukaryota; Viridiplantae; Streptophyta; Magnoliopsida; Poales; Poaceae.